RNAcentral lists this ribosomal RNA (274 nucleotides) under uncultured bacterium. Its description in RNAcentral is "partial 16S ribosomal RNA". It matches the Rfam family "Bacterial small subunit ribosomal RNA", at positions 523 to 796 of the family's 1533-position model. The record is from RNAcentral.
AUACGGAGGGUGCAAGCGUUAAUCGGAAUUACUGGGCGUAAAGCGCGCGUAGGCGGCUUGAUAAGUCGGAUGUGAAAUCCCCGGGCUUAACCUGGGAAUUGCGUUCGAUACUGUCAGGCUAGAGUGUGGUAGAGGGAAGUGGAAUUUCCGGUGUAGCGGUGAAAUGCGUAGAUAUCAGAAAGAACAUCAGUGGCGAAGGCGGCUUCCUGGAUCAACACUGACGCUGAGGUGCGAAAGCGUGGGGAGCAAACAGGAUUAGAAACCCUAGUAGUCC